UGACCCCUGCAGUGUUCGUAUUCAGGGCGUGUAUUUGAAGGAACCGAUACCCGUACUGAGGGAGGAUCAGGCCUUGCCGGGCCGAACAUGCCUGCCAGCAGGAAGUUUGGACGCAAGCAACGAUCUGCCCACUUGAAGUAAUGGGUUCCCUUCAAUCGCCCCUUUUACGGCACAGGUGGAGGUGAG
This 186-nucleotide non-coding RNA is filed under the name Phycisphaerae bacterium. RNAcentral describes it as "6S RNA". It matches the Rfam family "6S / SsrS RNA". From Rfam's summary of the family: E. coli 6S RNA was the first non coding RNA to be sequenced, but its function was unknown until recently. It consists of 184 nucleotides that fold into an extended hairpin structure with a large single-stranded internal bulge. The 6S RNA specifically associates with RNA polymerase holoenzyme containing the sigma70 specificity factor. Lineage: Bacteria; Pseudomonadati; Planctomycetota; Phycisphaerae. The record is from RNAcentral.